This 587-nucleotide ribosomal RNA is filed under the name Limosilactobacillus reuteri. RNAcentral's name for it is "bacterial SSU rRNA". It matches the Rfam family "Bacterial small subunit ribosomal RNA", at positions 299 to 893 of the family's 1533-position model. The record is from RNAcentral. Lineage: Bacteria; Bacillati; Bacillota; Bacilli; Lactobacillales; Lactobacillaceae.
UAGCUGCCGCCACGAAGGGCCUUCCCCCCGGGGGGGGGGGCCAGUAGGGAAUCUUCCACAAUGGGCGCAAGCCUGAUGGAGCAACACCGCGUGAGUGAAGAAGGGUUUCGGCUCGUAAAGCUCUGUUGUUGGAGAAGAACGUGCGUGAGAGUAACUGUUCACGCAGUGACGGUAUCCAACCAGAAAGUCACGGCUAACUACGUGCCAGCAGCCGCGGUAAUACGUAGGUGGCAAGCGUUAUCCGGAUUUAUUGGGCGUAAAGCGAGCGCAGGCGGUUGCUUAGGUCUGAUGUGAAAGCCUUCGGCUUAACCGAAGAAGUGCAUCGGAAACCGGGCGACUUGAGUGCAGAAGAGGACAGUGGAACUCCAUGUGUAGCGGUGGAAUGCGUAGAUAUAUGGAAGAACACCAGUGGCGAAGGCGGCUGUCUGGUCUGCAACUGACGCUGAGGCUCGAAAGCAUGGGUAGCGAACAGGAUUAGAUACCCUGGUAGUCCAUGCCGUAAACGAUGAGUGCUAGGUGUUGGAGGGUUUCCGCCCUUCAGUGCCGGAGCUAACGCAUAAGCACUCCGCCUGGAGACACCCGCACGG